RNAcentral lists this ribosomal RNA (696 nucleotides) under Triticum aestivum (bread wheat). RNAcentral describes it as "partial small subunit ribosomal RNA". Lineage: Eukaryota; Viridiplantae; Streptophyta; Magnoliopsida; Poales; Poaceae. The record is from RNAcentral.
AUGGCUUCCCGGAGAUAUGGUACUCGUGGCGCCACCAGAUGCAGGCCGUGGCCGCCGCAGGGUACCGCGCCAUCGCGCCGGACUGCCGCGGGUACGGCCUGUCGGACCAGCCGCCGGAGCACGAGGAGCCCUUCUGGGAGGACCUCGUCGCCGACGUGCUCGCCAUCCUCGAUGCCCUCUCCAUCCCCAAGGGCAUAUUUCCAACAGCGGUGGCGCCAGCCGGGGCAGGCGGAGGCGGACUUCGGGCGGUACAACAUCCGGUGCGUGGUGCGCACCAUCUACGUGCUCUUCUCCGGCCGCGAGAUCCCGGCCGCCGAGCAAGGCCAGGAGGCCAUGGACCUAGCCGACGGCUCCGCGCCCCUGCCGGAGUGGUUCACCGAGGAGGACCUCGACGUGUACGCCGCGCUCUACGAGAACUCCGGCUUCGGGUACCCGAUCAAAAUGCCGUACGGGUCGCUGGACAAGAUGGCCACCCAGCUGGAGGCCAGGUUCGAGGUGCCGGUGCUGAUGGUGAUGGGGGAGGACUACGUCAUGAAGCUGCCAGGGUUCGAGGCCGCCGUGAGGGGCGGCAUGAUGGCCGGCUUCGCGCCUGACCUCAAGGUCGCCUUCGUCCCGGAGGGCAGGCAUUUCGUGCAGGAGCAGUUCCCGACGCAGGUUAACGAGCUCCUCCUUGGUUUCUUGAAGGAUCACCCGUGA